This 368-nucleotide ribosomal RNA is filed under the name uncultured bacterium. RNAcentral describes it as "bacterial SSU rRNA". It matches the Rfam family "Bacterial small subunit ribosomal RNA", at positions 37 to 433 of the family's 1533-position model. The record is from RNAcentral.
UGGCGGCAGGGCUAACACAUGCAAGUCGAGCGAGACCUUCGGGUCUAGCGGCGGACGGGUGAGUAACGCGUGGGAAUAUGCCCUUUGGUACGGAAUAGCCUCGGGAAACUGAGAGUAAUACCGUAUGUGCCCUUCGGGGGAAAGAUUUAUCGCCAAAGGAUUAGCCCGCGUUGGAUUAGGUAGUUGGUGGGGUAAUGGNCUACCAAGCCUACGAUCCAUAGCUGGUUUGAGAGGAUGAUCAGCCACACUGGGACUGAGACACGGCCCAGACUCCUACGGGAGGCAGCAGUGGGGAAUCUUAGACAAUGGGGGCAACCCUGAUCUAGCCAUGCCGCGUGAGUGAUGAAGGGCUUAGGGUUGUAAAGCUC